RNAcentral lists this ribosomal RNA (521 nucleotides) under Nerophis ophidion (straightnose pipefish). RNAcentral describes it as "partial large subunit ribosomal RNA". It matches the Rfam family "Bacterial large subunit ribosomal RNA", at positions 1854 to 2578 of the family's 2925-position model. RNAcentral also lists the same sequence under 1 other name. Lineage: Eukaryota; Metazoa; Chordata; Actinopteri; Syngnathiformes; Syngnathidae. The record is from RNAcentral.
CUGCCUGCCCUGUGACUAUAGGUUCAACGGCCGCAGUAUUUUAACUGUGCGAAGGUAGCGCAAUCACUUGUCUUUUAAAUGAAGACCUGUAUGAAUGGUAAGACGAGGGCUUGACUGUCUCCUUUUCCCGGUCAAUGAAAUUGAUUUCCCCGUGCAGAAGCGGGGAUUAACACAUAAGACGAGAAGACCCUGUGGAGCUUCUAGAUAUACAAUAAUUUAUGUCAAUUAACUUAAAUAAAAGGAUAAACUAAAUAAGCUCUUUUUGAAUAUCUUUGGUUGGGGCGACCAUGGGGAAAUAAAUAACCCCCGUGAGGAGGAAACUAAUUUCUUAAAGCCAAGAGCCGCAGCUCGAAGCAUCAGGAUAUCUGACCUAAAUGAUCCGGUAGAACCGAUCAACGAAACAAGUUACCCCAGGGAUAACAGCGCAAUCCUCUCCAAGAGUUCUUAUCAACGAGGGGGUUUACGACCUCGAUGUUGGAUCAGGACAUCCUAAUGGUGCAGCCGCUAUUAAGGGUUCGUUU